Molecule: ribosomal RNA, 507 nt
Filed under: uncultured bacterium
Lineage: Bacteria
Description: partial 16S ribosomal RNA
Rfam family: Bacterial small subunit ribosomal RNA
Source: RNAcentral
AGUGAACGCUGGCGGUAGGCCUAACACAUGCAAGUCGAACGGCAGCACAGAGGAGCUUGCUCCUUGGGUGGCGAGUGGCGGACGGGUGAAGAAUACAUCGGAAUCUACUCUGUCGUGGGGGAUAACGUAGGGAAACUUACGCUAAUACCGCAUACGACCUACGGGUGAAAGCAGGGGAUCUUCGGACUUUGCGCGAUUGAAUGAGCCGAUGUCGGAUUAGCUAGUUGGCGGGGUAAAGGCCCACCAAGGCGACGAUCCGUAGCUGGUCUGAGGAGGAGGAUCAGCCACACUGGAGAUGGGACACGGGCCAGACUCCGACGGGAGGCAGCAGUGGGGAAUAUUGGACAAUGGGCGCAAGCCUGAUCCAGCCAUACCGCGUGGGUGAAGAAGGCCUUCGGGUUGUAAAGCCCUUUUGUUGGGAAAGAAAUUCAUCUGGUUAAUACCCGGGUGGGAUGACGGUACCCAAAGAAUAAGCACCGGCUAACUUCGUGCCAGCCGCCGCCGUAA